RNAcentral lists this long non-coding RNA (2505 nucleotides) under Sus scrofa (pig). RNAcentral describes it as "lncRNA (ENSSSCG00005040345.1)". Lineage: Eukaryota; Metazoa; Chordata; Mammalia; Artiodactyla; Suidae. The record is from RNAcentral.
CCUUUGCUGUGCAAAAGCUUUUCAGUUUGAUGAGGUCCCAUGGGUUUAUUUUUGCUCUAAUUUCUAUUGCUUUGGGAGACUGACCUGAGAAAAUAUUCAUGAUGUUGAUGUCAGAGAGUGUUUUGCCUAUGUUUUCUUCUAGGAGUUUGAUGGUGUCCUGUCGUAUAUUUAAGUCUUUCAGCCAUUUGGAGUUUAUUUUUGUGCAUGGUGUGAGGGUGUGUUCUAGUUUCAUUGCUUUGCAUGCAGCUGUCCAGGUUUCCCAGCAAUGCUUGCUGAAUAGACUUUCUUUUUCCCAUUUUAUGUUCUUGCCUCCCUUGUCAAAGAUUAAUUGACCAUAGGUGUCAGGGUUUAUUUCCGGAUUCUCUAUUCUGUUCCAUUGGUCUGUCUGUCUGUUUUGAUACCAGUACCACACUGUUUUGAUGACUGUGGCUUUGUAGUAUUUCUUGAAGUCUGGGAGAGUUAUGCCUCCUGCUUGGUUUUUGUUUCUCAGGAUUGCUUUGGCGAUUCUGGGUCUUUUGUUGUUCCAUAUAAAUGUUUGGAUUGUUUGUUCUAGUUCUGUGAACAAUGUCAUGGGUAAUUUGAUAGGGAUUGCAUUGAAUCUGUAGAUUGCUUUGGGUAGUAUGGCCAUUUUUACAAUAUUGAUUUUCCCAAUCCAGGAACAUGGAAUAUCUUUCCAUUUCUUUACAUCUUCUUUGAUUUCUUUGAUUAAAGUUUUAUAGUUCUCGGCAUAUAGGUCCUUUACCUCCUUGGUCAGGUGUAUUCCGAGGUAUUUGAUUUUGUGAGGUGCAAUUUUAAAAGGUAUUGUAUUUUUGUAUUCCUUUUCUAAUAUUUCAUUGUUAGUAUACAGAAAUGUGGCUGAUUUCUGAAUGUUAGUCUUAUAUCCUGCUACUUUGCUGAAUUUGUUGAUCAAGUAGUUUUUGGAUUGAGUGCUUAGGGUUUUGUAUAUAUAGUAUCAUCUGCUUUCAAGAUUUUCUCUUUGUCUUUAAUUUUGGUUGGUUUGAUUAAUAUGUGUCUCGGUGUAUUCCUCCUUGGGUUUAUUUUAUAUGGUACUCGUUGUGUUUCCUGGAUUUGAGGGAGUGGUUCCUUUCUCAUACUACGAAAGUUUUCGGCUAUUAUGUCUUGGAAUAUUUUUUCUGUCCUCUUCUCACUUUCUCCUUCUGGCACCCCUAUAAUACGGAUGUUGGUGCAUUUAACGUUGUCCCAGAGUUCUGUGAGACUCUCUUCAUUUCUUUUCCAUCUUUUUUCUCUUUUCUGUUCUGCAUUCGUAAUUUCCACUAAUCUGUCCUCCACCUUGGUUAUUUGUUCUUCUAUCUCCUAUAUUCUGCUGUUAGCUGCCUCUAGUGAAUUGUUGUAUUUUGCCUCUCUUCUUGUUUAAAUUUUAUAUCUUGUAUCUCUUUGCUCAGUAUUUCCUGUAAAUUAUCCAUCUUUGCCUCCAGUUUAUUUCCAAUGUCUUGCAUCAUCUUCAGCAUCAACAGUCUCUAAAGUCUUUUUCCUGGAGGCUGAGAAUCUCCUCCUUGCUUAGCUGUUUUUCUGUUGUUGUUGUUGUUUUUUUUUUUUUUCCUUUCUCCCUCAUCUGAGUUAUAAUUCUCUGUCUUUUCAUUUUUAUAGGUUUUUGGCGUGGUGACCUUUUUACAGAUAAUAGAGUUAUAGCCUCUCUUACUUUUGGUGUCUUCCCCCCUUGUGGCUGAUGUCGGUAUGGGGGUUUGCUGUAGGCUUCCUGAUGGGAGGCGCUGAUGCCUGCCCCCUGGUAGGUGGAGCUGAUUCUAAUCCCUCUGGUGGGUUGGGCUUAGUUUCUGGAUGGGAUUAGAGGCAGCUGUGUGCCUGGUGGGUCUUUAGGCAGCCUGUUUACUGAGGGGUGGGGCUGUGAUCCCACCUGGAUAGUUGUUUGCCCUGGGGCUUCUAGGUGCUGAUGGGUGGGGCCAGAUUUUCCCAAAAUGGCCACCUCCAGAGAAAGGCACACUGCAGAAUAUUCCUGAGAGCUUUGCUUCCAGUGUCCUUCCCUCACAAGCCACAUUCACCCCCUGUUUUCCCAGUAUGUCCUCCAAGAACUGCAGUCAGGUUUCAUCCAGAUUCCUAUGGAGACUUUGCUUUGCCCUGGGACCUAAUGCAUGUGAGAUUCUGUGUGUGCCUUUUAAGAAUGGGGUCUCCAUUUCCCUCAGUCCCAUGGAGCUCCUGCACACAAGCCCCACUGGCCUUCAACUCCAGAUGCUCCAGGGGCUCUUUCUUUCUCUCAGUGCCAUAUCCCCACACGUGAGAGUUUGAUGUGGGGCUCAGAACUCUCACUCCUGUGGUGAGUCUCUGAACCAGUUUCUUUCCGGUCUGUGGGGCUUCCCACACAGGAGGUAUGUGGUUGUUUAUAUCACAUAAUCGCCCUUCCUACCUCUUGAUGUGGCCUCCUCUUUGUCUUCUGGAGUAGGAUAUCUUUUUUAAGGUUUCCUGUCCAUUUUGUUGAAGAUUGCUCAGCCUUUAGUUAUGAAUUUUGUUGUUUUUAGAAGGGAAGUUGAG